UCGNGCGGAACGAGUUAUCUGAACCUUCGGGGNACGAUAACGGCGUCGAGCGGCGGACGGGUGAGUAAUGCCUAGGAAAUUGCCCUGAUGUGGGGGAUAACCAUUGGAAACGAUGGCUAAUACCGCAUAAUGCCUACGGGCCAAAGAGGGGGACCUUCGGGCCUCUCGCGUCAGGAUAUGCCUAGGUGGGAUUAGCUAGUUGGUGAGGUAAUGGCUCACCAAGGCGACGAUCCCUAGCUGGUCUGAGAGGAUGAUCAGCCACACUGGAACUGAGACACGGUCCAGACUCCUACGGGAGGCAGCAGUGGGGAAUAUUGCACAAUGGGCGCAAGCCUGAUGCAGCCAUGCCGCGUGUGUGAAGAAGGCCUUCGGGUUGUAAAGCACUUUCAGUCGUGAGGAAGGUGGUGUAGUUAAUAGCUGCAUUACUUGACGUUAGCGACAGAAGAAGCACCGGCUAACUCCGUGCCAGCAGCCGCGGUAAUACGGAGGGUGCGAGCGUUAAUCGGAAUUACUGGGCGUAAAGCGCAUGCAGGUGGUUUGUUAAGUCAGAUGUGAAAGCCCGGGGCUCAACCUCGGAAUAGCAUUUGAAACUGGCAGACUAGAGUACUGUAGAGGGGGGUAGAAUUUCAGGUGUAGCGGUGAAAUGCGUAGAGAUCUGAAGGAAUACCGGUGGCGAAGGCGGCCCCCUGNACAGAUACUGACACUCAGAUGCGAAAGCGUGGGGGAGCAAACAGGAUUAGAUACCCUGNUAGUCCNCGCCGUAAACGAUGUCUACUUGG
Molecule: ribosomal RNA, 779 nt
Filed under: Vibrio sp. MR08-71
Lineage: Bacteria; Pseudomonadati; Pseudomonadota; Gammaproteobacteria; Vibrionales; Vibrionaceae
Description: bacterial SSU rRNA
Rfam family: Bacterial small subunit ribosomal RNA
Source: RNAcentral